Non-coding RNA from Odocoileus virginianus texanus, 1116 nucleotides. The record is from RefSeq and is a predicted model, not a curated record. NCBI's taxonomy places the organism in Eukaryota, Metazoa, Chordata, Mammalia, Artiodactyla, Cervidae.
UUGUGCCUUUAAGAGGAGGAGCUGGGAUGGGAUGGGUCUGACCUCCCUGGGGUGGAUGCUCAUGGCCUGACAUGAGCUGGUGCGGUGUUCCUCUGGCUGGCAUUCUCCUUUCUUGGGAGCAUUGUCCUCAUUCCUAACUCUAGAAUGUCUGUUCCAUUGUGAUGGUGCCUGGGUAGAUGCCAAUCAGGAAACGUCAUGUCCCACAGGGUGUCUGAGUGAGCCACUCUCUCACAUGCAUUACUGCUGUAGUUUGUUCUGGAUGAGCAUUUCCUGAACUGUGGGCCAUGGCACUCUCUUCUUUUGUCAGGAAAGGAGUUCUUGCAGAAUUCAGUUUGAGAAAUGCUGCAUACUUGCCUUGAGUUUUCUCUGAAGAUCAUGGUGCCCAUUAGUACCUUCAUGGCUCUGAGAAGUUGGGCAAACCAAGAAACUGGCUGAACAUUGUUGAAUGCAGUGUUCCCUAUACUUCUUUGCCCAUGGAACACUGCUUGUACAUUACACUUAGUCACACCGGAAUCCAGUUCUUCCAGGUGGCCUCUCCGAGAGCAGCAGAGUCCCUUCAGUGGAUCAGCAAGUGAAUCAUUUUCUUAUGGGAGAGGACCUGAGUACCAGUGCCCGCCCACUGACUCCUCUCUGCCUUUGGACUGAGCCGUGUGGAUUCUCCAAGACUUGUCCAUUCAGCCCUCAACAUCCUGCUCUCAUUCUUCAGAAACUGGUGUCCUGCCCAUCCUCAUGGAGCCUCCACUGUGUCCUCAGGCCCUUCUCUGUUAUCUCCAGCCUCUGAGUCAUCCAGCCCGCUAAUAUUCACUUAUUGCUCGUUGGCAACAUGCAGAGCACUGUGUGAGAUCUUGGACAUCAAAAAAUCAUCUCAUCAGAUCUUCCAAAUCAGUUUGCGUGCUCUGUAUGUGAACGUGGACCCUCCUGGGAUGUCAAAAGGAGCUCCUUCCUUGGGGCAGAUGUGCUGUGUACUGUCAUCAAGCAAGCUGGCAUUGAGAUCCUGGCAUGACCCACAUCCAUCUGAUGUUGUAUGAUAGAGAAACAAUAAAGCUUGAAUCUUGACAUCUAGCAAGACCUUGGAUGAGUAAAAGCAUGUCAUGUUUGUUAAUACUUCAGAAAAAU